UUUCAACAACCAAUCACUGACGAGCGUUGGGAGCAGCAGAUGCCUCUUCUUCAGUGGGCGCAAUUUUCUCGCAGUUUUAAGUAAUUUAGCAUUUUUUCUUGAGCGGACGUCGUCUCUCCUCGUCCGUAGGAGUUGGUGUAUGUGUUUUUAACCGCGCUCCACCCGCUGUGGGCUCGAAGGGGCUUGGGAUCGGGAGUGAAAUGCAUCCCCGGGGCGCUGAACCUGCUCCAUCCACCGCACAAAGCCUGUGAAGCAGGCCGUGUUUUCCUCCUUGGUCCAACGCGCUGACGAUGAGCAAACAUGUCGGGGAACCACUACAAAGGCCACGAAGUCAGCUGCUGCAUCAAGUACUUUAUUUUUGGAUUCAACAUCCUUUUCUGGCUCCUGGGCAUGGCCUUGGUUGGAAUUGGACUGUGGGCAUGGAGUGAGAAGGGUGUUCUGUCCAACAUCUCAUCCAUCACCGACCUGGGGGGCCUGGACCCGGUGUGGCUCUUCAUGGUGGUGGGAGGGGUCAUGUUCAUUUUGGGUUUUGCUGGUUGUAUCGGCGCACUGCGGGAGAAUACUUUCCUACUCAAGUUUUUUUCCGUGUUCCUGGGAAUCAUCUUCUUCUUGGAGUUGACAACCGGAGUCCUGGCGUUCGUCUUUAAGGAUUGGAUUAAAGAUCAGCUCAAUCUCUUCAUCAACAAUAACAUCCGCGCCUAUCGAGAUGACAUAGACCUACAGAACCUCAUCGACUUCACUCAGGAAUAUUGGGAGUGCUGUGGGGCUUUUGGAGCCGACGACUGGAACCUGAACAUUUACUUUAACUGCACCGACGGAAACCCCAGCCGAGAGCGGUGUGGAGUCCCCUUCUCCUGCUGCACCAAGGACCCUGCUGAGGAUGUAAUAAACACCCAGUGCGGAUAUGACAUUCGUGCUAAACCAGACUCGGAGCAGAAGGACUACAUAAAUGUGAAAGGAUGUGUACCUCAGUUUGAGAAGUGGCUGCAGGAAAACCUCACACUGGUGGCUGGGAUCUUCAUUGGAGUAGCAUUACUGCAGAUUUUUGGGAUCUGUUUGGCCCAAAACCUCGUGAGUGACAUAGAAGCAGUGCGGGCGAGCUGGGUGCCCCCCCCUCUCUCCAUGCGCCGACUCCCUCCUCACUACAGCAAGAAAGCGGCGGCAUACUACAAAUGAGACUAUUUCACUCAUGCUGUCUGUGAUACCGCCGCUUUUUUACCUAAGAAAGCAGCAUCCAGAUUCUGACAGCGACGGAUCACAGCGACUUCACAGAGCCAGCACCUUCUUACGAGCACUAAAGGGUCACACUAACACUUUUGUAUAUAACAUUGUGUGGCUUAUGUAAAAAGGUAAUCGUCACAGAUCAGUGCACUACAUUCAGACUGUCACUAUUGCUCUGUUUUGAUAGCUAUGUGUAAAAAUUAGCAGUUUUUUGAUACAUUUUUUGAUAUUAGAUCAGUAUUUUUCACUGCAACACAGCCUCGUCGCACAGGCUAUAAACUAGUUGUAUACAAGAAAUGUGUUUGCAAUGUUAAAGUGCUUGCAUUGUUCCACGCAUUAGCAGAAAUGAAGGGAAAACUAUGUCACGUUUGCAUCAUGGUGUAAAUUUAAUGAAGUGCAAGGGGACUAAAUAAUUAUGAAAUCAAAAUAACGUUUUGUAUAUGUGAAUGUGAAUGAACAUUUAGCCUAGACAGUGCUAAAAGUCGAUCGCAAUGUUCGCCGCACCCAGUUCCGUUGUGUUAUGUACAGCAGAGAUGCGACGCCAAGUGCUCACGAAGACUACUGAGAAUAUUAGUUGUAAAAUUGUUUGAAAAUUAAAAUGCCAAAAUAUAUUUCAGGGUGCAUUGUGUAGCUUUCUUGUGCUUGGAAAUGUUAUUGCUUUGUCUAGAACAAGAGUCUCCAACCUGUAGCUCGGGAGAUACCAGUAACUCUCCAGCCUCUUCCAAGGAGCUCGCCAAGGGAUUUCUGAAUUAUGCAUAUUGUGCUGAAUGGCUCAGAUUUGAUGAACUACAAUUGUGACUUCUAUUUACCCAGGAUAUUCCCAGUUUUGAGCCCUGUGUCCCCUGUCCCAGCAGAUUUAUCUAAAACCAGUGAUUUGUCCCAGUUUUAUACAAGAAAUGUCCCUAUUUUGACCAAUUUGAUCCCUGCCAGCAGUAAAGAGAGGCAUAAAUUGUCAUUUGUUCAGGUAAAAUACAGAAAAGCUGCUUAAAAAUGACCAAAACACAAAGAAAAUGUGACUAUACUGACUCACGUGUUAGUCAUGAAUGGGUGGGCGCAGUCUGAGUUUUGAGCCCUGUGUCCCCUGUCCCAGCAGAUCUAUCCAAAACCAUUGAUGUCGAAGUUUUACAUGAGAAAUGUCCCAGGUGUCCCUAUUUUUGACCAAUUUGAUCCCUGCCAAUAGUAAAGAGAGUCAUAAAUUGUCAUUUGUCCAGGUAAAAUACAGAAAAGCUGCUUAAAAAUCACCCAAACACAAAGAAAAUGUGAUCAUACUGACUCACAUGUUCGUCAUGAAUGAUCUCUACAUCAAGAUUUUCGUUUUAUUAUUACUAGUCACCAAAAAAAUGGGGAUGUCCCAGUUUUUUAUUUUGAAAAUCUGGUCACCCUAAUCUUUGUGCACUAAUACAUUUAUAAAUGUUAAUAUUUUAUAGUUAUAUAGACGGUUCCCCAUUUAAGGUUUUCCUAUGCUCAAUUUCUUGGGACUGCUAAAAUAAGUCACUUUUUGGCGUUUUCUUUUUGUUAAAGUAGCUCACCAGAAGAAAAAGGGUGGAGACACCUGGUCUAGAAUGUCCCUUGUUAAACUCAUCCAUCUACAAAAAACAACAAAGAUAACAGAGUUUAAUUACAAACUUUCAGGCAAAACAAUAAUAUCUCCAUGGAAAAGAGUUUGGUGACGCAGAAAAGUUACACAGUGCACCUUUAAUAAAGCUAUAAAAUUCAUGCAAAGCGUCGCAUUCAAUCUUAAAACAGUUUUCUAAUGAUGCAAAGGAAAUUAAAUUCAAUAUAAAAUUAUGAACAGAUGUUUUUAUGUGUGUUGGGUCCAUGUACCAGAGGUGGGGAUUUGCAAGUCGUGACUUGGACUCGAGUCAGACUUGAGUCACUAUUUUUAGGACUUGAGACUUGAUUUGAUAAAAUAGACAAAGAUUUGGGACUUGACUUGGACUUGAAGGUCAGUGACUUGAGAAGACUUGAUGUUUAGACUAGUUGACAAAUUAACAGUUAUUAAACACUCUUAAAUCUUAAUUCUUUCUGUUCUGGCUGUAAUAAUUCACACUUUUGUCAAGACAUUUAAAAAGGAAAAAAUAACUCUUAUAUAAAUACUCAUGUACCGUGACUUUUUAAGUACAAUUUAGUUUAAAAAUUAUAUAAACAUCAAAAAUCUAACGCUAAGCUAUAUUUGGUACUUUGGUUUAAAGACUUGAAAUGAAUUGAAGCUCAAAGCAGACGACUUGGACUUGACUUGGACUUAUGGGCCAGUGACUCGAGACUUGACUUGGACUUGCCUGUUUUUGACUUGGGACUUGACUUGGACUUGAGGUCAAAGACUUGAGACUUACUUGAGAUUUGUAGAACAACGACUUGGUCCCACCUCUGGCGUGUACCAUUUGUUUUUUUGAAUUUCACUUAAAAACAAAAAACAAUAAAAUGGAAAAGCAAUUUGUUAUUUUUUUAUUCCAUUUUAGUGUCAACCUCUACCUGACCUUUCCAGUAUUUAAUUUAAAGUUUAUUUCUAAUAACACCAAUCAAAAACAGUUAUCGUGCCUACCGGUAUUUCAGUUUUGAUAUUUUAUUCUCUUCUAGCAGCAAAACUAAACAUAAACAAAAUAAAAGAAUAAAAUAUCAAAACUGAAAUAACCACUGAGACUGUUGGUGUUAAAUAUUGGAAACAGAGGUCGAAAUUAGUUUAUUUAAUUUUAUUUUUUUGACACUAAAGCGGAAUAAUUAAAUAAACGGUUUUCCCAUUUUAUUGUUUUUCCUUCUUAAUUAAAAUCCAAAAGAACGAAUAUUAGACGAACCAUUUUGAAGUAUUCUCAUCUUCUUGCCUGACCAGCCACGAGUAUUUUUGCAAAACAGUAUUCACUUGUGGAUUUUGAAUUGGACCACACUGAAAAAAAAUGAAAAAGCACUUACUUGAAUCAUCACCGUGUCUUCAAAUAUUUGUUUACAAUUGAAGUAAAUACAAUAAGUACUCGAGUAAGUGUUAAAAAUGUCCCUGUUUACAUAAUGCAUCCUACAGCGUGUGCGUAUUAAGAUGGCUUUUGAUACUUUUGUUUGUACACUGGACUGGGUUUUAUACAGUAACUUUAUGUACUACUGAUUUGAAGGCUACUGUCAUAAAAGUAUAAAAACCUGCACUCAUCAUUGUACCAUUUCUAUCGAUUGUACUCCACAUCGUCAUGUUCUACCUCCUCGUCUCCUCUCAUCCGGAUGCAUUUGAAUAUCGAGUCAUAUUAAUUAAUAAAGGUAACAAAAGUGUGA
Molecule: RNA transcript, 4476 nt
Organism: Boleophthalmus pectinirostris (great blue-spotted mudskipper)
Lineage: Eukaryota; Metazoa; Chordata; Actinopteri; Gobiiformes; Gobiidae
Gene: tspan5a
Gene name: tetraspanin 5a
Exons: 11
Source: RefSeq, a predicted model, not a curated record